This 441-nucleotide ribosomal RNA is filed under the name uncultured bacterium. Its description in RNAcentral is "partial 16S ribosomal RNA". It matches the Rfam family "Bacterial small subunit ribosomal RNA", at positions 338 to 795 of the family's 1533-position model. The record is from RNAcentral.
CCUACGGGAGGCAGCAGUGGGGAAUAUUGGGCAAUGGAGGAAACUCUGACCCAGCAACGCCGCGUGAAGGAUGAAGGUUUUCGGAUUGUAAACUUCUGUCGCGAGGGAUGAAGAAUGACGGUACCUGAAUAAGAAGCCCCGGCUAACUACGUGCCAGCAGCCGCGGUAAUACGUAGGGGGCAAGCGUUAUCCGGAAUUACUGGGUGUAAAGGGUGAGUAGGCGGGAUGGUAAGCCAGAUGUGAAAGCCUUGGGCUUAACCCGAGGAUUGCAUUUGGAACUAUCAAGCUAGAGUACAGGAGAGGAAAGCGGAAUUCCUAGUGUAGCGGUGAAAUGCGUAGAUAUUAGGAAGAACACCAGUGGCGAAGGCGGCUUUCUGGACUGAAACUGACGCUGAGGCACGAAAGCGUGGGGAGCGAACAGGAUUAGAUACCCGGGUAGUC